RNAcentral lists this ribosomal RNA (700 nucleotides) under Chryseobacterium sp. RNAcentral describes it as "bacterial SSU rRNA". It matches the Rfam family "Bacterial small subunit ribosomal RNA", at positions 55 to 756 of the family's 1533-position model. The record is from RNAcentral. Lineage: Bacteria; Pseudomonadati; Bacteroidota; Flavobacteriia; Flavobacteriales; Weeksellaceae.
AUGCAGCCGAGCGGUAGGGUUUCUUCGGAACCUGAGAGCGGCGCACGGGUGCGGAACACGUGUGCAACCUACCUUUAUCAGGGGGAUAGCCUUUCGAAAGGAAGAUUAAUACCCCAUAAUAUAUUGAACGGCAUCGUUUAAUAUUGAAAACUCCGGUGGAUAGAGAUGGGCACGCGCAAGAUUAGAUAGUUGGUGAGGUAACGGCUCACCAAGUCAGUGAUCUUUAGGGGGCCUGAGAGGGUGAUCCCCCACACUGGUACUGAGACACGGACCAGACUCCUACGGGAGGCAGCAGUGAGGAAUAUUGGACAAUGGGUGAGAGCCUGAUCCAGCCAUCCCGCGUGAAGGAUGACGGCCCUAUGGGUUGUAAACUUCUUUUGUAUAGGGAUAAACCUUUCCACGUGUGGAAAGCUGAAGGUACUAUACGAAUAAGCACCGGCUAACUCCGUGCCAGCAGCCGCGGUAAUACGGAGGGUGCAAGCGUUAUCCGGAUUUAUUGGGUUUAAAGGGUCCGUAGGCGGACUCGUAAGUCAGUGGUGAAAUCUCAUAGCUUAACUAUGAAACUGCCAUUGAUACUGCGGGUCUUGAGUAAAGUAGAGGUAGCUGGAAUAAGUAGUGUAGCGGUGAAAUGCAUAGAUAUUACUUAGAACACCAAUUUGCGAAGGCAGGUUACCAUGUCUUAACUGACGCUGAUGGACGA